UAGGGAAUCUUCCACAAUGGACGCAAGUCUGAUGGAGCAACGCCGCGUGAGUGAAGAAGGUUUUCGGAUCGUAAAGCUCUGUUGUUGGUGAAGAAGGAUAGAGGUAGUAACUGGCCUUUAUUUGACGGUAAUCAACCAGAAAGUCACGGCUAACUACGUGCCAGCAGCCGCGGUAAUACGUAGGUGGCAAGCGUUGUCCGGAUUUAUUGGGGGUAAAGCGAGCGCAGGCGGAAGAAUAAGUCUGAUGUGAAAGCCCUCGGCUUAACCGAGGAACUGCAUCGGAAACUGUUUUUCUUGAGUGCAGAAGAGGAGAGUGGAAUUCCAUGUGUAGCGGUGGAAUGCGUAGAUAUAUGGAAGAACACCAGUGGCGAAGGCGACUCUCUGGUCUGCAACUGACGCUGAGGCUCGAAAGCAUGGGUAGCGAACAGG
This 429-nucleotide ribosomal RNA is filed under the name bacterium. RNAcentral's name for it is "partial 16S ribosomal RNA". It matches the Rfam family "Bacterial small subunit ribosomal RNA", at positions 355 to 776 of the family's 1533-position model. The record is from RNAcentral.